AUGGCUAUCUUCGAUGAGUUCUACGUUGGGUCCAUUGAUCUUGGGCGCCUCAACUAUGGGACGAUUUCUCUUAUCCCCAAGGUUCCUGGGGCGUCAGACAUCCGUCAGUUCCGCCUGAUCACGGUGAUAAAUGUGAUCUUCCGGAUUUUGGCAAAAGGGUACACCAAUUGGGUGACCCUGUUCAUGGACCAUAUUACCCACCCCAACCAAUCGACUUUCAUCCAAGGCCGAUAUAUUCUGGAUGGGAUGCUAGUCCCGCAUGAAGUUCUCCAUGAGGUCCGCUCCAAACAACUCAAGGCGGUCUUUCUGAAGAUAGACUUCCAUAAGGCCUAUGACACUGUUAGUUGUCCCUUCCUUCGGGAAGUUCUUCUCCGGAAAGGCUUCGAUGGCCGUUGGGUUACUCGGGUUAUGCAGAUGGUAUCUUGUGGUCGCACUGCUGUGAACAUCAAUGGGGAGAUUGGCCCUUACUUCCCCACUUUCUGUGGGGUGAGGCAAGGUGAUCCUUUCUCCCCAUUCUUGUUCAAUAUGGUGGUGGACGCACUUGCUGCCAUCCUGGAUAAGGCUAAGGCUGUUGGCCAUAUCCGUGGGAUUACCCCCCACUUGGCUGGUGGCACCGGCAUUUCCAUGCUCCAGUAUGCCGACGACACCAUCAUCAUGGUCGAAGGCUCCGAUGCGGACAUCGCGAACCUUAAAUUCCUCCUACUCUGCUUCCAACACAUGUAUGGCCUCAAGAUGAACAUCGACAAGAGUGAUGUGAUGGUGAUGGGCUAUUCUCCGGUAGAGUCCCUCGACAUUGCCAACCGCCUGAAUUGUCGCCUCGGUUUCUUGCCCACCUCCUACCCGGGGACUCCCAUCAGCGACUCGAGGCUUACCGGUGCUGACUUGCGUCUGACUGUGACCAAGUUGCAAAUGUGUAUUGAGCCUUGGCAGGGCCGGUGGCUGUCGAAGGCGGCCUGA
Molecule: ribosomal RNA, 957 nt
Filed under: Triticum aestivum (bread wheat)
Lineage: Eukaryota; Viridiplantae; Streptophyta; Magnoliopsida; Poales; Poaceae
Description: partial small subunit ribosomal RNA
Source: RNAcentral